Long non-coding RNA from Myotis daubentonii (Daubenton's bat), 983 nucleotides. RefSeq lists it as uncharacterized. The record is from RefSeq and is a predicted model, not a curated record. NCBI's taxonomy places the organism in Eukaryota, Metazoa, Chordata, Mammalia, Chiroptera, Vespertilionidae.
CGCGGCCGCCGACGCCCAGGACCGUCCUCUUCGGGCUGCUCCGCGCUUGGCGAGCUCCAGGCCGGGAGUGAAACGCCCGCAUGGCGCAGACGGGUGAAGCCGGAGCGAGUGCUCCACAGCCGGCACCGGGACUUUCACAGGCCCUUGCUCACCUGCUGCUCCGCAUGUUCAUGCUCGGAUACGGGGGCGAACGCUGCAGCCCGAGGGGGCGAUGAAGGGGCUCAGGGACGAGGCACGAGCUGUGAAUAAGCGCGUUGAGGUGAUGGCUGGGCGGGCCCUGCGAUCGGGGGAGCCUCGGGGGGCCCGGACCUGUCCCGGCUCCGCACACACGGGCUCCCGCGCCGGCGCACCCAGCCCGGUGAGCCCCGGUUGGGAAGGACGGGCCGUGCAGCGCCGGCUGCAGUCGUGCUUGUGAAUCAGUUACCUUCUCGUUCCCCAAGUUCACAGAAUUCCCACCAAACACCUCUGCUGAAGGACUAGGCUUUUACUCCUCUUGGCAUCAGCAAGCACUGAGUAGGCUCGCCACCCCGAGUGGAGGCAUGGCUGGCACCACGGGAAGCCACGGGUGGCGAAGUAGGGAGGAGUAACAGCCAUCCCACAGGAAAGCCAUCCUUGGUUGGACCCAGUGAACUGGAAGCAGCAUCAAAAGUACAUCAAUCCCUCAGAUGACACACUCCACCCAUCAGUGCAGCCACAGGAGAGAGUGAAUUCAAUCCAAAUGGUUAUUUAUUCUAAAACUGGAAGCUACUGUGCCUACAUAUUCGCCAGAAUGUUGUAAUGAGAACAGGGGAGGAAAAAGUUACAGAUGUAAACAAUGACACAGUUACAUUUUUAAAAAAUGGUAAAACCCUUUUUUACUGGCCACUUCCAAGAAUGCUUUACAGGUUGUGCAAAAACAUUUACAGGCUCCAUGUGAUGUUUGUUUUUCUCACAAGCUUUUCCAUCUACAACUACAACAGAGGUCUGAUAAAACACUAAACAAA